UGAUUGUUUAAAUACAGAUCUUUCUAGCCUG
This 31-nucleotide non-coding RNA is filed under the name Mus musculus (house mouse). Lineage: Eukaryota; Metazoa; Chordata; Mammalia; Rodentia; Muridae. The record is from RNAcentral.